CCCCUCCCUCCAUGAUGAAUUUCCCUGAAAUGGAGUUAUGCACCAUAAAAUGAGGAAAAUGGCUCUUUCAAUGGACUGUAAUGACUUUGUUGUUGCUAGGAUGGAGGCCUUGUAGUGUGAUGUACAGAAAGACGGGCCAUUAUUUCAACAGGUUUCAUUUCACACUGGAUCCCUGUUUUGGUGUUGACCAUUACUUUAUAAUAAUUGAUGUCCUGUUCAUGGCAGAAAUGGAAUCUCUCUAUCUAUCUUUCUCUGUCUCACACACGCAGGCACGCUCUCUCAAAUAAGCACGCACUCGUUCUCGCGCUCUCUCGCUCUUACUCUCUAUUUCCCCUCUCCAAUUACUUUUUGCGGUUUUCCACAGAAGUUAAAGAAAUGCAAUGUCAGAUAAACAACUGAUGGCAAAUAUGAAGCAUUCUGCCAGAUAGACUACAAUGUGCAGAUUGCAGACGUGUACCGCGAGUGCAGUGUACCAGUGGCGCCAUCUACAAGGUGAGCAAAGAAGAAUUCGACACAGCUCCGGACUCUCUCUCGGAGGAAUACGGAGUGAGGAUUACACAGUUUCCUCAACGAAUCAGUUGUACUAUAGACAAUGUCGUGGAGGUAAAUUGACACCGAACCUACCUGAAUGUGGGCAGAGCCUGAGGCCUGAGUUAACAGAUCGCCUGCUGCUGCUGUGUGCGUGGCACGGAUCGUCAGUGACUGUCAUGGAGGAAGUGUGGGACCCAACUGUGAAAUGGGAGACGGCUGUUUGACAUGUGAAGCCCACCUGGAGAAAAUGUCUGCUUUCAGGCCUGGAUAUAAGGAAUUACUCAACAAGAAGGAAACGUCACUGUAGGGAAUGUCGUUUUCCCUCUUCCCUUCUCAUUAACAACAACAUGUC
Molecule: long non-coding RNA, 883 nt
Filed under: Oncorhynchus kisutch (coho salmon)
Lineage: Eukaryota; Metazoa; Chordata; Actinopteri; Salmoniformes; Salmonidae
Description: lncRNA (ENSOKIG00005046940.1)
Source: RNAcentral